This 758-nucleotide ribosomal RNA is filed under the name bacterium enrichment culture clone Dan60S_8E. Its description in RNAcentral is "bacterial SSU rRNA". It matches the Rfam family "Bacterial small subunit ribosomal RNA", at positions 8 to 780 of the family's 1533-position model. The record is from RNAcentral.
AGAGUUUGAUUCUGGCUCAGGGUAAACGCUGGCGGCGUGCGUAACACAUGCAAGUCGAACGGGUUAUUACUCUUCGGAGUAAUGAUCAGUGGCGAACGGGUGAGUAAAAGGUAGGGACCUACCCCGAGGACAGAGAUAGCUACUGGAAACGGUAGGUAAACUCUGAUAAGCCCGAGAGGGGAAAGUGGGAGUCAGCCUUGGGAUGGACCUACUAUCCAUCAGGUAGUUGGUGAGGUAAAGGCUCACCAAGCCGAUGACGGAUAACCGGUGUGAGAGCAUGGACGGUCACAAGGGCACUGAGACACGGGCCCUACUCCUACGGGAGGCAGCAGUGGGGAAUAUUGGACAAUGGGCGAAAGCCUGAUCCAGCGACGCCGCGUGAAGGAAGAAGUCCUUCGGGAUGUAAACUUCUGAACUAAUCGAAUAAGAGGGUAGUGGACACACUACAGAAGAAGGUAGAUUAGGAAAGGUCCCGGCUAACUACGUGCCAGCAGCCGCGGUAAGACGUAGGGGGCGAGCGUUGCCCGGAAUCACUGGGUGUAAAGGGGACGUAGGCGGAUGAUCAAGUCAUCUGUGAAAAGAUUGCUCAACGAUUGGCUUGCGGAUGAAACUGGUCAUCUUGGGCGUAGCAGAGGUAGACGGAAUUACCUGAGUAGGGGUGAAAUCCGCAGAUACAGGUAAGAAGGCCGGUGAAGAAGUUGGUCUACUGGGCUACAGCUGACGCUGAGGUCCGAAAGCCAGGGGAGCGAACCGGAUUA